CGGAACCGGAUCCCGGAAGUGAGCUGUGAAGCGGAACAAUACAGGGAUUGCUACCCGGUCCGCGAUCCGAACCGGGGCCGCGCGCACUCUGCCAGCCGGUACCGUGCCCUCCCCUGACCAGUCACCAUCACCACUGUCCAUUGCUGGAUAAGCCCCGCGGGCCGGGGUUGGGUGGGCCCGGGUCGGUGUGUGAGAGGAAGCAGCUUCCUGUCCAGCAUGGAGCAGUGACAACCUGCAGCACACGGAACCAGGCGGACAUAGUGCUGGCACAGCGGACCAUGGGGGAGGCUUAGCCUUAUCAAUG
Non-coding RNA from Pelobates cultripes (western spadefoot toad), 304 nucleotides. The record is from the annotation of a GenBank genome assembly. NCBI's taxonomy places the organism in Eukaryota, Metazoa, Chordata, Amphibia, Anura, Pelobatidae.